UGCAAGGUUGCACGGCAUCAAGAAGGCGUGUACAAGUGAAAAUUGAGGUAACACCUGCGAUGUCCUUGAUACUUUGAUAUGCUAUACUGCAAAAUUUGUUCUAGUUGCACCUUACUCCUUUUUUUUUGGGUUUUGCAGGCUGUAACUUCCAUACUGGCUACUGUUGAUGCAAUGUAGCUGCUCUUCUGCUAGUUCUUCUCCUUUUAGCUUGCAUAUGGUUUACUGUACUAGCUGAUGCUGAGGCUUCCUUCACUACAGAACUACAAAAAUAGUUACAGAACUUCAAACAUAUCAUUGGCAUUUUCAUUUUCAUGUUCAUGUCACACUGCCAAACACAUCCUCUGCUAUAGGCCAUUUGUUACUUGUUAUCUAUUUGGAAGGCUCUGAAUUAUGCAUCUAACUACAAGAGAGACUUAAUUUGGCCAGUUUCCCAUGUUUAGCAGAAUUAGGCAAUUAGGCAUCUAGAUAGAUGAUUUCCCUUUCAUUUUCCCAAUCAACGACUAAACCUACCAAUUAAUCUUCGCUGUUGGGCUUGCGGGAACAAUUGCGCACAGCUUGCAAACGAAAUUCAACAAAGAGAACCCUCACAUACCUCCAUCCAUCGAAGACGCCGGCGGCCGGCGGCCACCGUGUUUCAUCCUCGAGAGACGGUGAGCAGCAGGAGGGCCGGGCCUCCCGUGCUCCGGCGCUGCGCAGCUACCCAGCCUUCUCGCCCUCCUCACCGCAGGCUCAUUCUGCAGCACAGCUCCGGCGAACCGGGUAGGUGGCCGCGCCGACUCGCCUCAGUUUCAAACGCGAGGCAGCUCGCUCGGCUCUUAAGAUCCGAUUAAUCCGGCGAGCCUCCUCCGCUUCCUUUCUGCUGGAUCCAGGGGAGUGGACGGGACGGGGCUUUGCGCUUCCCGCCGGGCCGCGCCGGCGGGGAGGUGACGACUGCUGGCUGGGCUCGUAAGAUUCGUUGAAUCAGGCACGCCUCCGCUACUCUCUGCAGCGGGGUUCAGAGGGGACUCCUCCGGCUGCGGCGGGGAGGUGACGGCGGCGGGAGGCCGACGCAGACCAGGGGGCCCAUUGUAAAGUGUUGAGGUCCUUUUUGCAAAUAUUCGGAUCGCGCUUAUUCAUCGCGAUCCAAAUUAGGGUCUAUUUGUAAAGUUUAGGGGGCUAUUUGCAAAUACUUGGAUCGCGACUAUUGAUCGCGAUCCAAAUCAGGGAGCUUCCUGCAAAUGUUUU
Molecule: long non-coding RNA, 1224 nt
Filed under: Setaria italica (foxtail millet)
Lineage: Eukaryota; Viridiplantae; Streptophyta; Magnoliopsida; Poales; Poaceae
Description: long non-coding RNA (SITA_LNC005660)
Source: RNAcentral